CCUACGGGUCGCAGCAGUGGGGAAUAUUGCACAAUGGGCGCAAGCCUGAUGCAGCCAUGCCGCGUGUAUGAAGAAGGCCUUCGGGUUGUAAAGUACUUUUAGCGGGGAGGAAGGCGAUAAGGUUAAUAACCUUGUCGAUUGACGUUACCCGCAGAAGAAGCACCGGCUAACUCCGUGCCAGCAGCCGCGGUAAUACGGAGGGGUGCAAGCGUUAAUCGGAAUUACUCGGCGUAAAGCGCACGCAGGCGGUUGAUUGAGUCAGAUGUGAAAUCCCCGGGCUUAACCCGGGAAUUGCAUCUGAUACUGGUCAGCUAGAGUCUUGUAGAGGGGGGUAGAAUUCCAUGUGUAGCGGUGAAAUGCGUAGAGAUGUGGAGGAAUACCGGUGGCGAAGGCGGCCCCCUGGACAAAGACUGACGCUCAGGUGCGAAAGCGUGGGGAGCAAACAGGAUUAGAUACCCCCGUAGUC
RNAcentral lists this ribosomal RNA (466 nucleotides) under uncultured bacterium. Its description in RNAcentral is "bacterial SSU rRNA". It matches the Rfam family "Bacterial small subunit ribosomal RNA", at positions 338 to 795 of the family's 1533-position model. The record is from RNAcentral.